CGGAGACACUCAUUGAUAAUCCUGGUUCACCCUUAAAUGUUGUUCCACAUAAUCUUUCACCUGUUUUUGCAUUUAAUGAAGAUGAAGAUGCAUCGUUUGAGGUUAGGGUUGUUGAAGAACCUGAACCUAUUUCUUCAGCGUUUCCAGCAUCAGUUCUAAAUCAAAAUUCCACAAAUGAUGAUGAAGAUGGUGUUCAGAAUUGUACUUUUACACAGUUGCUAUCAACAGGUAUUCAUGCGAACGAGGAGUUUUAUGUUCACCACACACCCAAUGGCACUAGAAUGUGGUGUCC
Molecule: long non-coding RNA, 292 nt
Organism: Helianthus annuus (common sunflower)
Lineage: Eukaryota; Viridiplantae; Streptophyta; Magnoliopsida; Asterales; Asteraceae
Exons: 3
Source: RefSeq, a predicted model, not a curated record